RNAcentral lists this ribosomal RNA (253 nucleotides) under uncultured bacterium. Its description in RNAcentral is "partial 16S ribosomal RNA". It matches the Rfam family "Bacterial small subunit ribosomal RNA", at positions 524 to 776 of the family's 1533-position model. The record is from RNAcentral.
UACGAGGGGGGCAAGCGUUGUUCGGAAUUAUUGGGCGUAAAGGGUGCGUAGGCGGCGCGGUAAGUCGGGUGUGAAAUCUCGGAGCUUAACUCCGAAACUGCAUUCGAUACUGCCGUGCUUGAGGACUGGAGAGGAGACUGGAAUUUACGGUGUAGCGGUGAAAUGCGUAGAGAUCAUGAGGAAGACCAGUGGCGAAGGCGGGUCUCUGGACAGUUCCUGACGCUGAGGCACGAAGGCCAGGGGAGCAAACGGG